GACGAACGCUGGCGGCGUGCCUAAUACAUGCAAGUCGAACGCACUCUCGUUUAGAUUGAAGGAGCUUGCUCCUGAUUGAUAAACAUUUGAGUGAGUGGCGGACGGGUGAGUAACACGUGGGUAACCUGCCCUAAAGUGGGGGAUAACAUUUGGAAACAGAUGCUAAUACCGCAUAAAACCUAAACACCGCAUGGUGUAGGGUUGAAAGAUGGUUUCGGCUAUCACUUUAGGAUGGACCCGCGGUGCAUUAGUUAGUUGGUGAGGUAAAGGCUCACCAAGACCGUGAUGCAUAGCCGACCUGAGAGGGUAAUCGGCCACACUGGGACUGAGACACGGCCCAGACUCCUACGGGAGGCAGCAGUAGGGAAUCUUCCACAAUGGACGAAAAGUCUGAUGGAGCAACGCCGCG
This 409-nucleotide ribosomal RNA is filed under the name uncultured bacterium. RNAcentral's name for it is "bacterial SSU rRNA". It matches the Rfam family "Bacterial small subunit ribosomal RNA", at positions 28 to 401 of the family's 1533-position model. The record is from RNAcentral.